RNAcentral lists this long non-coding RNA (444 nucleotides) under Pongo abelii (Sumatran orangutan). RNAcentral's name for it is "lncRNA (ENSPPYG00000035719.1)". The record is from RNAcentral. Lineage: Eukaryota; Metazoa; Chordata; Mammalia; Primates; Hominidae.
GGUCCAGCUCUUUCUGCCCACAGCUGCCGCUUACAGCUGCGUGAGUCGGCUGGGCGAGCUGGGCCUCGUGGAGUUCAGAGACCUCAACGCCUCGGUGAGCGCCUUCCAGAGACGCUUUGUGGUUGAUGUUCGGCGCUGCGAGGAGCUGGAGAAGACCUUCACUUUCCUGCAGGAGGAGGUGCGGCGGGCUGGGCUGGUCCUGCCCCCGCCUGAGGGGAGGCUGCCGGCACCACCACCUCGGGACCUGCUGCGCAUCCAGGAGGAGACGGAGCGCCUGGCCCAGGAGCUGCGGGAUGUGCGGGGCAACCAGCAGGCCCUGCGGGCCCAGCUGCACCAGCUGCAGCUCCACGCCGCCGUGCUGGGCCAGGGCCAUGAACCUCAGGUCAGCUCCCGCCCAGGCAGGAGACUGGGGGGCUGGGGAGGGGCUGUCCGGCCGGGGGCUCA